This 532-nucleotide ribosomal RNA is filed under the name Megochterus occidentalis. RNAcentral describes it as "partial 16S ribosomal RNA". It matches the Rfam family "Bacterial large subunit ribosomal RNA", at positions 1830 to 2623 of the family's 2925-position model. The record is from RNAcentral. Lineage: Eukaryota; Metazoa; Arthropoda; Insecta; Hemiptera; Ochteridae.
GUCCUUUUGUUAUUUAUUUAAGGUCUGACCUGCCCAAUGAUUAUUUUAAUGGCUGCGGUAUUUUAACUGUACAAAGGUAGCAUAAUCAUUUGUCUUUUAAUUGAAGGCUUGAAUGAAUGGUUGGACGAGAUAUAUACUUUCUUUAAUUUAUAUUAAUGAAUUUAAUUUUUUAGUUAAAAAGCUAAAAUUUUUUUAUAGGACGAGAAGACCCUAUAGAACUUUAUAUUUUGAUUUAUAAUUAAUUUUUAGUAUAUAUUUAUUUUUUAUAAAAAAAUUUAUUUUGUUGGGGUGACAGGAAGAUUUUUUUAACUCUUUUUUUUUAUUUCAUUUAUUUAUGUUUUUUUGAUCCAAUAUUAUUGAUUAUAAGAUUAAGUUACCUUAGGGAUAACAGCGUAAUUUUUUUGGAGAGUUCUUAUCGAUAAAAAAGUUUGCGACCUCGAUGUUGAAUUAAGAUUAGUUAUGGGUGUAGAAUUUCAUUUACUAGGUCUGUUCGACCUUUAAAUUCUUACAUGAUCUGAGUUCAAACCCGGAG